UCCGUUAGGUGAACCUGCGGAGGGAUCAUU
This 30-nucleotide ribosomal RNA is filed under the name Fusarium avenaceum. Its description in RNAcentral is "partial 18S ribosomal RNA". The record is from RNAcentral. Lineage: Eukaryota; Fungi; Ascomycota; Sordariomycetes; Hypocreales; Nectriaceae.